GAUGAACGCUGGCGGCGCGCCUAACACAUGCAAGUCGAACGGCACCCCUCCUCGGAGGGCAGCGAGUGGCGACCGGCUGAGUAACACGUGGAGAACCUGCCCCCUCCCCCGGGAUAGCCGCCCGAAAGGACGGGUAAUACCGGAUACCCCGGGGUGCCGCAUGGCACCCCGGCUAAAGCCCCGACGGGAGGGGAUGGCUCCGCGGCCCAUCAGGUAAACGGCGGGGUGACGGCCCACCGUGCCGACAACGGGUAGCCGGGUUGAGAGACCGACCGGCCAGAUUGGGACUGAGACACGGCCCAGACUCCUACGGGAGGCAGCAGUGGGGAAUCUUGCGCAAUGGGGGGAACCCUGACGCAGCGACGCCGCGUGCGGGACGGAGGCCUUCGGGUCGUAAACCGCUUUCAGCAGGGAAGAGUCAAGACUGUACCUGCAGAAGAAGCCCCGGCUAACUACGUG
RNAcentral lists this ribosomal RNA (459 nucleotides) under uncultured bacterium. RNAcentral describes it as "partial 16S ribosomal RNA". It matches the Rfam family "Bacterial small subunit ribosomal RNA", at positions 28 to 507 of the family's 1533-position model. The record is from RNAcentral.